Molecule: small nucleolar RNA, 107 nt
Filed under: Helianthus annuus (common sunflower)
Lineage: Eukaryota; Viridiplantae; Streptophyta; Magnoliopsida; Asterales; Asteraceae
Description: sRNA HanXRQr2_Chr13g0583321
Rfam family: Plant small nucleolar RNA R71
About the family: R71 is a member of the C/D box family of snoRNAs containing the C (UGAUGA) and D (CUGA) box motifs. Multiple nearly identical copies of this snoRNA have been identified in Arabidopsis, and it is thought to function as a 2'-O-ribose methylation guide for 18S ribosomal RNA.
Source: Rfam by way of RNAcentral
AGACCGUGAUGAGGACACUUUCUUAGUAGCUCCUUGAACCUUUCCCAGGUUUCAUAUAAGGAUUCCCCAACCUUUUGUGAAUAUGUAUUAAUUUCAGUCAUUAAUUU